Molecule: non-coding RNA, 30 nt
Filed under: Rattus norvegicus (Norway rat)
Lineage: Eukaryota; Metazoa; Chordata; Mammalia; Rodentia; Muridae
Source: RNAcentral
UGGACAUUGCAAGCAUGACCUAAGGGUACA